RNAcentral lists this ribosomal RNA (433 nucleotides) under uncultured bacterium. RNAcentral's name for it is "partial 16S ribosomal RNA". It matches the Rfam family "Bacterial small subunit ribosomal RNA", at positions 29 to 507 of the family's 1533-position model. The record is from RNAcentral.
AACGAACGCUGGCGGCAUGCCUAACACAUGCAAGUCGAACGAGACCUUCGGGUCUAGUGGCGCACGGGUGCGUAACGCGUGGGAACCUGCCCUUAGGUUCGGAAUAACUCCCCGAAAGGGGUGCUAAUACCGGAUAAUGUCUUCGGACCAAAGAUUUAUCGCCUUUGGAUGGGCCCGCGUUGGAUUAGCUAGUUGGUAGGGUAAAAGCCUACCAAGGCGACGAUCCAUAGCUGGUCUGAGAGGAUGAUCAGCCACACUGGGACUGAGACACGGCCCAGACUCCUACGGGGGACGGCGGUGGGGAAUAUUGUACAAUGGGCGAGAGCCUGAUCCAGCGAUGCCGCGUGAGAGAGAAAGAGCUUAGGGUUGUGAAGCUCUUUUACCCGGGAUGAUAAUGAGAGUGCCGGGAGAAUAAGCUCCGGCUAACUCCGUG